GGUUGUGAGGGGGAUCUGGCUGCAACAUCUGUCUCCCUCCUGAUCUCCAUGGCGGAUUCAGCUGAUCUGGUGGCCUAUGGUGUGUCUCUUUCCUCCCUCAGUGUUCCACAUGCAUAUCUCCCAAAGCUGUGUGCUUCAUUAGAAGUAAAAGAGAGCAACCUUCUUCUAAUAGAGGAAGACCAGUCUUUUGUCAAGGGUAUAAAAACAGCUCUGCUCUCCUGCUAGAACCUCCAAACAAGCUCUUCAAAAUGCAGCCCUGCCAAAUUUUAUUUUCUUAUGUGUAAUUUAAGUGACUAAACCUGGAUCUAGCUUAUAUAAGAUCAGAUCUAUAAAGUUUUAUAGGCCUAAUAAUU
This 353-nucleotide small nuclear RNA is filed under the name Jaculus jaculus (lesser Egyptian jerboa). RNAcentral's name for it is "7SK RNA (ENSJJAG00000003078.1)". It matches the Rfam family "7SK RNA". Rfam says of the family: 7SK was discovered as an abundant small nuclear RNA in the mid-70s but a possible function has only recently been suggested. Two independent studies have found that 7SK RNA binds the CDK9/cyclin T complex (known as elongation factor P-TEFb). P-TEFb activates transcription by phosphorylating the C-terminal domain of RNA polymerase II. Lineage: Eukaryota; Metazoa; Chordata; Mammalia; Rodentia; Dipodidae. The record is from RNAcentral.